CCUACGGGGGGCAGCAAUGGGGGAUAUUGGACAAUGGGGGAAACCCUGAUCCAGCGACGCCGCGUGAGUGAAGAAGUAUUUCGGUAUGUAAAGCUCUAUCAGCAGGGAAGAAAGAAAUGACGGUACCUGAGUAAGAAGCCCCGGCUAACUACGUGCCAGCAGCCGCGGUAAUACGUAGGGGCCAAGCGUUAUCCGGAAUUACUGGGAGCAAAGGGAGCGUAGACGGUAAUGGAAGUCUGAUGUGAAAGGCGGGGGCGCAACCUGGGUACUGCACUGGGUACUGCAUGGCUGGAGUGCGGGAGGGGCAAGCGGAAUUCCAGGUGUAGCGGUGAAAUGCGUAGAUAUCAGGAGGAACACCGGCGGCGAAGGCGGCCUGCUGGACCGCGACUGACGUUGAGGCUCGAAAGCGUGUGGAGCGAACAGGAUUAGAUACCCGUGUAGUC
This 443-nucleotide ribosomal RNA is filed under the name uncultured bacterium. RNAcentral's name for it is "partial 16S ribosomal RNA". It matches the Rfam family "Bacterial small subunit ribosomal RNA", at positions 338 to 795 of the family's 1533-position model. The record is from RNAcentral.